UACAGAGGGUGCGAGCGUUAAUCGGAUUUACUGGGCGUAAAGCGUGUGUAGGUGGUUUGUUAAGUCGGAUGUGAAAGCCCUGGGCUCAACCUGGGAACUGCAUUCGAUACUGGCAGGCUAGAGUACGGUAGAGGGAGGCGGAACUCCGGGUGUAGCGGUGAAAUGCGUAGAUAUCCGGAAGAACACCGAUGGCGAAGGCAACCUCCUGGGCCUGUACUGACACUGAGACACGAAAGCGUGGGGAGCAAACAGG
This 253-nucleotide ribosomal RNA is filed under the name uncultured bacterium. RNAcentral's name for it is "partial 16S ribosomal RNA". It matches the Rfam family "Bacterial small subunit ribosomal RNA", at positions 524 to 776 of the family's 1533-position model. The record is from RNAcentral.